AACGAACGCUGGCGGCAGGCCUAACACAUGCAAGUCGAGCGAGGACUCCGGUUCUAGCGGCGGACGGGUGAGUAACGCGUGGGAAUGUGCCCUUCUCUACGGAAUAGCCCUGGGAAACUGGGAGUAAUACCGUAUACGCCCUAUUGGGGAAAGAUUUAUCGGAGAAGGAUCAGCCCGCGUUGGAUUAGGUAGUUGGUGGGGUAAUGGCCUACCAAGCCGACGAUCCAUAGCUGGUUGGAGAGGAUGAACAGCCACGCUGGGACUGAGACACGGCCCAGACUCCUACGGGAGGCAGCAGUGGAGAAUCUUAGACAAUGGGGGCAACCCUGAUGUAGCCAUGCCGCGUGAGUGAUGAAGGCCUUAGGGUUGUAAAGCUCUUUCAGCUGGGAAGAUAAUGACGGUACCAGCAGAAGAAGCCCCGGCUAACUCCGUG
Molecule: ribosomal RNA, 433 nt
Filed under: uncultured bacterium
Lineage: Bacteria
Description: partial 16S ribosomal RNA
Rfam family: Bacterial small subunit ribosomal RNA
Source: RNAcentral